UACGUAGGGUGCGAGCGUUAAUCGGAAUUACUGGGCGUAAAGCGUGCGCAGGCGGUUCGUUGUGUCCGGUGUGAAAGCCCCGAGCUUAACUUGGGAAUGGCAUUGGAAACUGGCGGGCUGGAGUGUGGCAGAGGGGGGUGGAAUUCCACGUGUAGCAGUGAAAUGCGUAGAGAUGUGGAGGAACACCGAUGGCGAAGGCAGCCCCCUGGGCCAACACUGACGCUCAGGCACGAAAGCGUGGGGAGCAAACAGG
This 253-nucleotide ribosomal RNA is filed under the name uncultured bacterium. Its description in RNAcentral is "partial 16S ribosomal RNA". It matches the Rfam family "Bacterial small subunit ribosomal RNA", at positions 524 to 776 of the family's 1533-position model. The record is from RNAcentral.